Molecule: ribosomal RNA, 581 nt
Filed under: Westiellopsis sp. LCRSM-2340
Lineage: Bacteria; Bacillati; Cyanobacteriota; Cyanophyceae; Nostocales; Hapalosiphonaceae
Description: bacterial SSU rRNA
Rfam family: Bacterial small subunit ribosomal RNA
Source: RNAcentral
GACGGUGAGUAACGCGUGAGAAUCUGGCUCUAGGUUCGGGACAACCACUGGAAACGGUGGCUAAUACCGGAUGUGCCGAGAGGUGAAAGGUUAACUGCCUGGAGAUGAGCUCGCGUCUGAUUAGCUAGUUGGUGGUGUAAGGGACUACCAAGGCGACGAUCAGUAGCUGGUCUGAGAGGAUGAUCAGCCACACUGGAACUGAGACACGGUCCAGACUCCUACGGGAGGCAGCAGUGGGGAAUUUUCCGCAAUGGGCGAAAGCCUGACGGAGCAAUACCGCGUGAGGGAGGAAGGCUCUUGGGUUGUAAACCUCUUUUCUCAGGGAAUAAGCAAGUGAAGGUACCUGAGGAAUCAGCAUCGGCUAACUCCGUGCCAGCAGCCGCGGUAAUACGGAGGAUGCAAGCGUUAUCCGGAAUGAUUGGGCGUAAAGCGUCCGUAGGUAGCAGUGUGUGUCUAUUGUUAAAGAGUUUGGCUUAACCAAAUAAAGGCGGUAGAAACUACACAGCUAGAGUGCGUUCGGGGCAGAGGGAAUUCCUGGUGUAGCGGUGAAAUCCGUAGAGAUCGGAAGAACACCGGGGCGA